RNAcentral lists this ribosomal RNA (496 nucleotides) under uncultured bacterium. RNAcentral describes it as "partial 16S ribosomal RNA". It matches the Rfam family "Bacterial small subunit ribosomal RNA", at positions 29 to 507 of the family's 1533-position model. The record is from RNAcentral.
AUGAACGCUGGCGGCGUGCCUAAUACCUGCAAGUCGAGCGAACAGACGAGGAGCUUGCUCCUCUGAUGUUAGCGGCGGACGGGUGAGUAACACGUGGAUAACCUACCUAUAAGACUGGGAUAACUUCGGGAAACCGGAGCUAAUACCGGAUAACAUGUUGAACCGCAUGGUUCAACAGUGAAAGACGGUCUUGCUGUCACUUAUAGAUGGAUCCGCGCCGCAUUAGCUAGUUGGUAAGGUAACGGCUUACCAAGGCAACGAUGCGUAGCCGACCUGAGGGGGUGAUCGGCCACACUGGAACUGAGACACGGUCCAGACUCCUACGGGAGGCAGCAGUAGGGAACCUUCCGCAAAGGGCGAAAGCCUGACGGAGCAACGCCGCGUGAGUGAAGAAGGUCUUCGGAUCGUAAAACUCUGUUAUUAGGGAAGAACAAAUGUGUAAGUAACUAUGCACGUCUUGACGGUACCUAAUCAGAAAGCCACGGCUAACUACGUG